Molecule: long non-coding RNA, 568 nt
Organism: Toxorhynchites rutilus septentrionalis
Lineage: Eukaryota; Metazoa; Arthropoda; Insecta; Diptera; Culicidae
Exons: 3
Source: RefSeq, a predicted model, not a curated record
UAAACUAUCCUCAAUUUGUUCGAUGUUCGGAUGUUUUUUCAAUAUUUCUUGUUUUUAAAAGUUCAAAAAUUCGUACAAAGUGACAAAAUCGUAAGUCGACCCGACGAUAAACACGAUAGUGUACCGCAUUUUCACUGCAGCAAUAUGUCGAAGUGCCACGUCCCGCGAUGCCGGAGCAGAAAAAUUUUCAAAACUUGGGGAUACUGUUUUAACCUAUAAUCAGCAAAGAAGACAUCUUUGUACUGGAGCUAUCCAAAGCAUUCGCUUCUUGGAUCUUCCUAAACGUUCCGUUCCAAUGAUUUCACACAAAAUUCCAAAUUUAUAUAUUAACUUCUUGCGAAAGUGCAAAAUAUUUAUUUGCAAUCAAUUCGGAAGAUGACCCGGCGUGGAGGAAAUGUUUUUCUCGUUUUUCAGAAACGCCAAUUUAGUCGCGGCUGAACGGCUGAACACUCCAAACCGAAACCAUUGAAAGCGUCGCGAUGAUUCUUGAUAGCUGCUUCAAUAAAAGAGAAAAAAAAUCAGCAGUGUGGGAGUUAAUCUUUCAUCAUACUAUCAACGACACGAAACG